RNAcentral lists this ribosomal RNA (404 nucleotides) under uncultured bacterium. Its description in RNAcentral is "partial 16S ribosomal RNA". It matches the Rfam family "Bacterial small subunit ribosomal RNA", at positions 28 to 526 of the family's 1533-position model. The record is from RNAcentral.
GAUGAACGCUGACAGAAUGCUUAACACAUGCAAGUCAACUGUGGCGGAAGGGUGAGUAACGCGUAAAGAACUUGCCUCACAGCUAGGGACAACAUUUGGAAAGGAAUGCUAAUACCUGAUACUGUGAGAGAGCUUUGCGUCCCAUUGGCUAGUUGGAGAGGUAACGGCUCACCAAGGCGAUGAUGGGUAGCCGGCCUGGGAGGGUGAUCGGCAACAAGGGGACUGAGACACGUCCCUUACGCUAACGGGAGGCAGCAGUGGGGAAUAUUGGACAAUGGACCAAAGUCUGAUCCAGCAAUUCGGUGUGCACGAUGAAGUUUUCGGAAUGUAAAGUGCUUUCAGUUGGGAAGCGGUACCAACAGAAGAAGUGACGGCUAAAUACGUGCCAGCAGCCGCGGUAAUUC